This 505-nucleotide ribosomal RNA is filed under the name uncultured bacterium. RNAcentral's name for it is "partial 16S ribosomal RNA". It matches the Rfam family "Bacterial small subunit ribosomal RNA", at positions 28 to 507 of the family's 1533-position model. The record is from RNAcentral.
GACGAACGCUGGCGGCGUGCCUAAUACAUGCAAGUAGGACGCACAGUCUAUACCGUAGCUUGCUACACCAUAGGCUGUGAGUUGCGAACGGGUGAGUAACGCGUAGGUAACCUGCCUAUUAGAGGGGGAUAACUAUUGGAAACGAUAGCUAAUACCGCAUAACAGUAUGUAACACAUGUUAGAUGCUUGAAAGAUGCAAUUGCAUCGCUAGUAGAUGGACCUGCGUUGUAUUAGCUAGUAGGUAGGGUAAUGGCCUACCUAGGCGACGAUACAUAGCCGACCUGAGAGGGUGAUCGGCCACACUGGGACUGAGACACGGCCCAGACUCCUACGGGAGGCAGCAGUAGGGAAUCUUCGGCAAUGGGGGGAACCCUGACCGAGCAACGCCGCGUGAGUGAAGAAGGUUUUCGGAUCGUAAAGCUCUGUAGUUAAGGAAGAACGAGUGUGAGAAUGGAAAGUUCAUACUGUGACGGUACUUAACCAGAAAGAGACGGCUAACUACGUG